Molecule: ribosomal RNA, 253 nt
Filed under: uncultured bacterium
Lineage: Bacteria
Description: partial 16S ribosomal RNA
Rfam family: Bacterial small subunit ribosomal RNA
Source: RNAcentral
GACAGAGGGGGCAAGCGUUGCUCGGAAUCACUGGGCGUAAAGGGCGCGUAGGCGGGAUGGCAAGUCGGUCGUGAAAUCUCUCGGCUCAACCGAGAAACGUCGGCCGAUACUGCCGUUCUUGAGGGAUGCAGAGGAGACUGGAAUUCCCGGUGUAGCGGUGAAAUGUGUAGAGAUCGGGAGGAACACCGGUGGCGAAGGCGGGUCUCUGGGCAUUUCCUGACGCUGAGGCGCGAAAGCGUGGGGAGCGAACAGG